GUUUUAUACAACAAUGAAACGAUAUUUGAGAUAUAGCCAUUUGUUAAAAACCCUUCUCGUUUUUACUUUUUAUAGAACGAAAUUCCAGAUGGUUUCCAUACUAGUUAAUUUCGAAUUCAACUCCAGUCAGUUUCCGAGUGUAUAUGUAAGCAGUAUAUGGAAGGAUGUUACAGCAGUAUGUGUGAUUAUUGGUUUCGUGUGUUUCGUUUUUUAUCAAGUGGUUCUACAGUGGAAGUCUGAGAAAGGAACUGAGCAGCUGAAUUGUAUUUGUUUACGGAGAGAUUCAGAGAUGACCAUGACCGAGUAAUAAAAAUCUCAAAGUUUUAUAGAGAUGUUGAAACCCGAUUUUCAUACCUAGAAUCUCAGUCAACUUCUGUAAAUGAUAGAUUCAAAAGAGGCAGGUGCAAAAGUAUACAACAAUGCUAAAGUCGAUUUCCAAAUUAUAAGAAGUAACCGGUUUAAAGAACUAUUAUUUACCAGUCGUUUUGAUGCAGACGUACUAAGUGGAAAGAGGCACACUUCCGAACAGGGAAUACAGGUCCAGCUCACUAUGGCUAAAGGAUUUGUAGACAGGGAAUUGUGGAAAAUUAGGAAAUACAUGUCCGAAGAUAUCUUGUCACUGGAGGAAGUGGACAAAGACGAUAGGAAGUUACAGAAGUACUUUGG
Mytilus californianus (California mussel) is the source of this 666-nucleotide long non-coding RNA. RefSeq lists it as uncharacterized. The record is from RefSeq and is a predicted model, not a curated record. NCBI's taxonomy places the organism in Eukaryota, Metazoa, Mollusca, Bivalvia, Mytilida, Mytilidae. The transcript has 5 exons.